AGUCGAGCGGUUGACGGAAGCUUGCUUCCUGAUUCAGCGGCGGACGGGUGAGUAAUGCCUAGGAAUCUGCCUGGUAGUGGGGGACAACGUUUCGAAAGGAACGCUAAUACCGCAUACGUCCUACGGGAGAAAGCAGGGGACCUUCGGGCCUUGCGCUAUCAGAUGAGCCUAGGUCGGAUUAGCUAGUUGGUGAGGUAAUGGCUCACCAAGGCGACGAUCCGUAACUGGUCUGAGAGGAUGAUCAGUCACACUGGAACUGAGACACGGUCCAGACUCCUACGGGAGGCAGCAGUGGGGAAUAUUGGACAAUGGGCGAAAGCCUGAUCCAGCCAUGCCGCGUGUGUGAAGAAGGUCUUCGGAUUGUAAAGCACUUUAAGUUGGGAGGAAGGGCAGUAAGCGAAUACCUUGCUGUUUUGACGUUACCGACAGAAUAAGCACCGGCUAACUCUGUGCCAGCAGCCGCGGUAAUACAGAGGGUGCAAGCGUUAAUCGGAAUUACUGGGCGUAAAGCGCGCGUAGGUGGUUUGUUAAGUUGAAUGUGAAAUCCCCGGGCUCAACCUGGGAACUGCAUCCAAAACUGGCAAGCUAGAGUAGGGCAGAGGGU
RNAcentral lists this ribosomal RNA (604 nucleotides) under bacterium 06-L049658-122-015-F01. RNAcentral's name for it is "bacterial SSU rRNA". It matches the Rfam family "Bacterial small subunit ribosomal RNA", at positions 60 to 659 of the family's 1533-position model. The record is from RNAcentral.